Panicum hallii is the source of this 2708-nucleotide long non-coding RNA. RefSeq lists it as uncharacterized. The record is from RefSeq and is a predicted model, not a curated record. Lineage: Eukaryota; Viridiplantae; Streptophyta; Magnoliopsida; Poales; Poaceae. The transcript has 4 exons.
GUCUCAUCCCGUGCCUCUGCCGGCAGAACCACGGCCGCCUCUCAGCCCCGCCCCGCGCUUCCCACCCACGCGUCUCCCAAUGGUUCCUCUCUCCCCACCCCGACGACCUCGCCUUUGCUCCGCCACGCCGCCCUCCCGUCGCGCCGGACUCCAACUCGCUCCGCCCUCCCCGCCGGCCCGCCUGCCUUCCUGAGACGGCCCGCAGUCCCACACAAGAACACCCCACCGCCUCAGCUCCCAAUCCGAAGCCUCCCUACACCGCCGCCACCAACCUCUAGGCUCGCGCAGGCCAAGUGGGGAGCAGAGCAAGGUGGGCGCGUAGCAGCGGCGGUCCUCCUGCUCGCCGUCGUCGCGCCGAACUCCCCGUUCGCCCGAGCUGCUCGUCCCCGCAACGCUGACAUUGCGACGCCGCCCUCCCCAUCGCGCCGCCGCUGCGCGCAGCCGCGCCGUCGCCUUAGCAUGCCCGUCCCCCCCCGCGCCGCCGCCGUCAUGAUGUCCAGCCGUCCCCGACCUAUCGCGCUACCGCUACACCGUUAUCCCACCGACCCACACCGACUGUCGUUUCCUCUCCCGAUCACGGCCUCCCCCACCCGUCAUCGUCGACGCGCGACGCUGUGGCCGCGGAUCUCCGCGCGCGGAGGCGGCAGCGCGGCGCCUCCAGCCUCCCCCACCACGAAUCCCAACUCCCGCUGCCCCGCCAUGAAUCCGCCGCCCUGCCCCGGUUCUGUGAAUCCCUCCUGUUCCCCUGCCUGCUCGCCCUGCUGCUCCUCCGCACCGUGCUUGACCCGGACCCCGACGCGGCCGCGCUGUUCCCCCUCCGUUUCCGGCAUGAGGGCACCUCAAGCUCCUCCAGGUGGCGGACAUGCUCUUCGGGAAUGGCGUCGCAACAUGCUGCCGACGUGGCGCCGGACGGCGGCGGCACGCACUGCUCGAACCUCAACACCACGCAGUUUCUGCGCUAGGUCAUCGAGGCGAAGAGGUCCGACCUCAUCGCCUUCACAAGUGCGGCUCUGUUUCCUCCUCCUCCUCCUCAAGAGCUGCACCUCAUCCUCCUCAGAGCUGCAGCUGUUGUGCUCCAAAGCUUGCAACCUUGGCCAAGUAGCUGAGCUAGCCUUGCCACGCUCAGCUCACCUCGCUAGGUUGCACACAGUAGGAUUGCAGGCGACGCGGAGGAACUCGAUUUGAGCAGCGCUGACCUCGUGAGUGGAUCGGAGGAGCCGAGUUUGGCCAUCGCCGAGCUUGAUUAUGCUUGGAGGAGCUCAAUUUGGUGGUUGUCGAGCUCAACUCUGCACAGCGGAACUCGAUUUCAUGGUCCUCGAGCUCGGUCAAAUUGUGAGCUUGCUCCUGUGGGCGAGAUUGCAAGCAGAAUAUGUUCCGUUUCCGCCCAAUCUCAUGUAGAUGCAGUCAUGGCUGUUGGUACUGCCCAUAUAUAGUAGUGGCAAUAUAUAACAAUCAGUUAACACAGAUGGGGAUGUCAAAGUGGCAUGGAGCAGCUUCAGUGGCGCAAGACCAUCCUCAUGGCUGCACAUAGCAGCGGUGGAGCCGGGCCAUCAUCAAGGCGGCGCUUAGCAGUCACCGCUAUGGAUCCGGGCUGUCAUCAAGGCUGCACUGGGGAGCCGCAGCAGCGGCUCUGAGCCAUCGCCCAAUAGCAAGCACAAGCAGCUCUCCAGCAGCAAGCUGCAACCUGCGAGCAUAAGCAGAGCUAUUGCAAUGGCGUUGUACACAGACGUAGCAUGAAGGUGGAUAAGGAGAUGAAGGUGAAGCAGAUGGGGAAGGGGCAUGUGCCAAUAGCACAUCAGACUUGUGCCUAAAGGAUAGCAGUGCCUAAAUUAUAUCAGUGGUUGCAAGAUUGAUCAGCUGCGUGCAAGUAAAGAGAAGUCUGUUGCAUUUGGUACUCAUAAUUCUCUAACAUGUAGUGAUGAGGAUUUUCCUUUAAAUUCCAUAACUGUGGUUAGCUAUUUCUGUUUUCCAGCUGCAGAAGCAUGCUUUCAUAUAGAUAAUUAACUGAGAAUGUACCAAGAAGUGCACAUAGGUAAUUUGGUCCUAUAUGAGCUUAUAUGCAGAUCGAUGCUCCAUUAUUUCACUAAAAACAUUAUUUUAUGGUCUCAUAUUCCUAACAUCUGGAAAGUUGUACAAUGCGUCUUCAGAGCACUUCCAUUUCAAUGUAUUCUUUUUUACCCUUGUGUGUACAUGAUAUAGUUAUUUGUCAGAAAGAAGUGCAUGAAACGAAUUUGAUCUAAUUGCUAGAAGUCAACAAAAUUUGAAUGAUUGUAGCCUGAUCCUUCAACUUUCGGAGCACUAGCUUUUCAGAGAAAUCUGGGACCAUGGUAUGAAUAAACUACAUGGCAACACUAGCCUACAUGAACUUAUCUGAAUAUGUUUUAACUUCAAAAUUGAUUAUAUAAAAUGAUUCUUUAGGAUAGAUGUAGUAGAUUACUUCUCCUACAAGUUACAAGAUCCUAUUUUUUCAGGAUGAUAAUCAAAUGGAUGAUUGGUCAAGUCAAGAUUUUUGCUUGGAAAGUCGAACAAUAGUUUACCAACAAACACUAACAAAUGCUACUGUCACAUUUAGCAGUACAGCUUGUGCGGGUUAUGCGGUUAUCCAGUAGAGGAUUGUUUUCAUGCCUGCAUUAGCUGUCUGCAUGCCACAGCCCUUUGUUAUGCUACAAGGAACACUGGUUAUUACCAAGUAGGAGGAUAUGGUUCAU